UACGGGGGGGGUAAGCGUUGUUCGGAAUUACUGGGCGUAAAGGGCUCGUAGGCGGCCAACUAAGUCAUACGUGAAAUCCCUCAGCUUAACUGGGGAACUGCGUGUGAUACUGGAUGGCUUGGAUUUGGGAGAGGGAUGCGGAAUUCCAGGUGUAGCGGUGAAAUGCGUAGAUAUCUGGAGGAACACCGGUGGCGAAGGCGGAUCUCUGGGCCUGUUCUGACGCUGAGGCGCGAAAGCUAGGGGAGCGAACAGG
This 253-nucleotide ribosomal RNA is filed under the name uncultured bacterium. Its description in RNAcentral is "partial 16S ribosomal RNA". It matches the Rfam family "Bacterial small subunit ribosomal RNA", at positions 524 to 776 of the family's 1533-position model. The record is from RNAcentral.